Molecule: ribosomal RNA, 469 nt
Filed under: uncultured bacterium
Lineage: Bacteria
Description: partial 16S ribosomal RNA
Rfam family: Bacterial small subunit ribosomal RNA
Source: RNAcentral
GACGAACGCUGGCGGCGUGCUUAACACAUGCAAGUCGAACGGAAAGGCCCUGCUUGCCGGGUGCUCGAGUGGCGAACGGGUGAGUAACACGUGGGUGAUCUGCCCCUUACUUUGGGAUAAGCCUGGGAAACUGGGUCUAAUACUGGAUAGGACCAUGCUGUAGGUGGUGUGGUGGAAAGAUUAGUUUCGGUAAGGGAUGAGCUCGCGGCCUAUCAGCUUGUUGGUGGGGUAAUGGCCUACCAAGGCGUCGACGGGUAGCCGGCCUGAGAGGGUGGACGGCCACAUUGGGACUGAGAUACGGCCCAGACUCCUACGGGAGGCAGCAGUGGGGAAUAUUGCACAAUGGGCGCAAGCCUGAUGCAGCGACGCCGCGUGGGGGAUGACGGCCUUCGGGUUGUAAACUCCUUUCGGCCAUGACGAAGCCCUUGUGGUGACGGUAGUGGUAGAAGAAGCACCGGCUAACUACGUG